RNAcentral lists this long non-coding RNA (206 nucleotides) under Elaeis guineensis (African oil palm). Its description in RNAcentral is "long non-coding RNA (EGUI_LNC056676)". The record is from RNAcentral. Lineage: Eukaryota; Viridiplantae; Streptophyta; Magnoliopsida; Arecales; Arecaceae.
GUGGCGGUCAAACUGCUGUAAUGAUAAGGCCUUAGCGAACGGAUCUAUUAUAUUAUUUUUGAUGUUAACUCGCUUUAUGAUCACAUCGUGUCUUUCGACUAUCUUCCGAAUGAGUUGGAACCAUCUUAGGAUAUACUUAGACUUAUGAUAAGACCUUGAUUCCUUGGCUUGAGCAACUAUCCCAGUAUUGUCAUAAUAAAAGGACA